UGCUUAACACAUGCAAGUCGAGCGAUGAAGCACCUUCGGGUGUGAAUUAGCGGCGAACGGGUGAGGAACACGUGAGAAAUCUGCCUUCAACACUGGGAUAACUCCGGGAAACCGGGGCUAAUACCGGAUAUGAAAUCUGCGGGCAUCCGCGGAUUUGGAAAGUUUUUCGGUUGAAGAUGAUCUCGCGGCCUAUCAGCUUGUUGGUGAGGUAAUGGCUCACCAAGGCGACGACGGGUAGCCGGCCUGAGAGGGCGACCGGCCACACUGGGACUGGGACACGGCCCAGACUCCUACGGGAGGCAGCAGUGGGGAAUAUUGGGCAAUGGAGGAAACUCUGACCCAGCGACGCCGCGUGCGGGAUGAAGGCCUUCGGGUUGUAAACCGCUUUCAGCAGGGAAGAAGCGAAAGUGACGGUACCUGCAGAAGAAGCACCGGCUAACUAUGUGCCAGCAGCCGCGGUAAUACAUAGGGUGCAAGCGUUGUCCGGAAUUAUUGGGCGUAAAGAGCUCGUAGGUGGUUCGUCACGUCGGAUGUGAAACUCUGGGGCUUANCCCAGACCUGCAUUCGAUACGGGCGAGCUUGAGUAUGGUAGGGGAGUCUGGAAUUCCUGGUGUAGCGGUGGAAUGCGCAGAUAUCAGGAGGAACACCAAUGGCGAAGGCAGGACUCUGGGCCUUACUGACACUGAGGAGCGAAGCGUGGGGAGCGAACAGGAUUAGAUACCCUGGUAGUCCAACGCCGUAACGGUGGGC
RNAcentral lists this ribosomal RNA (750 nucleotides) under uncultured Actinomycetes bacterium. Its description in RNAcentral is "bacterial SSU rRNA". It matches the Rfam family "Bacterial small subunit ribosomal RNA", at positions 45 to 814 of the family's 1533-position model. The record is from RNAcentral. Lineage: Bacteria; Bacillati; Actinomycetota; Actinomycetes.